GGUGCUAUACAUGCAGUCGUACGCUUCUUUUUCCACCGGAGCUUGCUCCACCGGAAAAAGAGGAGUGGCGAACGGGUGAGUAACACGUGGGUAACCUGCCCAUCAGAAGGGGAUAACACUUGGAAACAGGUGCUAAUACCGUAUAACAAUCGAAACCGCAUGGUUUUGAUUUGAAAGGCGCUUUCGGGUGUCGCUGAUGGAUGGACCCGCGGUGCAUUAGCUAGUUGGUGAGGUAACGGCUCACCAAGGCCACGAUGCAUAGCCGACCUGAGAGGGUGAUCGGCCACAUUGGGACUGAGACACGGCCCAAACUCCUACGGGAGGCAGCAGUAGGGAAUCUUCGGCAAUGGACGAAAGUCUGACCGAGCAACGCCGCGUGAGUGAAGAAGGUUUUCGGAUCGUAAAACUCUGUUGUUAGAGAAGAACAAGGAUGAGAGUAACUGUUCAUCCCUUGACGGUAUCUAACCAGAAAGCCACGGCUAACUACGUGCCAGCAGCCGCGGUAAUACGUAGGUGGCAAGCGUUGUCCGGAUUUAUUGGGCGUAAAGCGAGCGCAGGCGGUUUCUUAAGUCUGAUGUGAAAGCCCCCGGCUCAACCGGGGAGGGUCAUUGGAAACUGGGAGACUUGAGUGCAGAAGAGGAGAGUGGAAUUCCAUGUGUAGCGGUGAAAUGCGUAGAUAUAUGGAGGAACACCAGUGGCGAAGGCGGCUCUCUGGUCUGUAACUGACGCUGAGGCUCGAAAGCGUGGGGAGCAAACAGGAUUAGAUACCCUGGUAGUCCACGCCGUAAACGAUGAGUGCUAAGUGUUGGAGGGUUUCCGCCCUUCAGUGCUGCAGCUAACGCAUUAAGCACUCCGCCUGGGGAGUACGACCGCAAGGUUGAAACUCAAAGGAAUUGACGGGGGCCCGCACAAGCGGUGGAGCAUGUGGUUUAAUUCGAAGCAACGCGAAGAACCUUACCAGGUCUUGACAUCCUUUGACCACUCUAGAGAUAGAGCUUCCCCUUCGGGGGCAAAGUGACAGGUGGUGCAUGGUUGUCGUCAGCUCGUGUCGUGAGAUGUUGGGUUAAGUCCCGCAACGAGCGCAACCCUUAUUGUUAGUUGCCAUCAUUCAGUUGGGCACUCUAGCAAGACUGCCGGUGACAAACCGGAGGAAGGUGGGGAUGACGUCAAAUCAUCAUGCCCCUUAUGACCUGGGCUACACACGUGCUACAA
This 1212-nucleotide ribosomal RNA is filed under the name Enterococcus faecium. RNAcentral describes it as "bacterial SSU rRNA". It matches the Rfam family "Bacterial small subunit ribosomal RNA", at positions 44 to 1230 of the family's 1533-position model. Lineage: Bacteria; Bacillati; Bacillota; Bacilli; Lactobacillales; Enterococcaceae. The record is from RNAcentral.